Long non-coding RNA from Brienomyrus brachyistius, 1430 nucleotides. RefSeq lists it as uncharacterized. NCBI's taxonomy places the organism in Eukaryota, Metazoa, Chordata, Actinopteri, Osteoglossiformes, Mormyridae. The record is from RefSeq and is a predicted model, not a curated record. The transcript has 2 exons.
AUUUCAGGUGAAACAUUUAACAGCGAACAAUAGCAAAUAAAAAUAUUGCAAAUAUUUAUUUUAAUAUUUUUAUUUUAAUAUUCAGAGAGAGCAGGCCAGGUGGCACUAUAGCCUGUGCACUUUUUCUUUAUUUUUGCACUAAUGGCAUUACUGAUUUUAGUUUCCAGGUGAAUAAACAUGUUUAUGUUUCAAAUAAGAGUGAAAUCUUUGUCACUGUGCACUGCACAGUCAGACCUUAACACCGUUCCUUAACAUUGGUUUAAUUUCAUUUUGGUGAACAUAAUGACUUUCAGAAAUCGAAGGGAAACUUUAAACAUUAUUCUUUGAACUUUUCAUUUUAGUCGACUAAAUCAACUGGUUUUACUCAACUGUAAUCUUAUGAAAUAUAGUUGACCAAAACUGAAAUAUUUUAGAUGACCAAAUUAUCACUGAAACUAAAUUACAUUUUAGUCAGAAGACUACGACUAAAACUAAAUAAAAAUUUGUCAAAAUUAACACUGGUUCGUAUUAAGUGGAUAACUUUUGCCAAGUGAUACAUUUUAUUGACCGGGGGAGGGGGGGCGCCACGAGAAUUAAUACCAUACAGGAGAAUGCUCGGUAUGCCAUAUGCUCUGUAUUUGUAUUUCCUGUAGCUGCAGUGAGUAUAUUAGCAUUAUUGUUCAUAUGUGUACUGCCACUAUAACAAGUGCAUAUAUACGUGACAGUAAAACUUUCUGGGCAUCUACAUUGAUAAAACUUAGGUGAUAGUACUGUUUUGUUAUUAAGUACAAUUAUUAGAUUGAACCAGCUUAUUUAUUUGCUCUUUAAGAGGUUUUUACUGUUGUCUGGUGUGCUGUAGUGCAACCUGUCUGACCGAUACCUUUUUCUCCUCUUAGCACUAGGAGAAUGGAGAAAGCAGUGGAUUGGACUGAUGACAAGUACUGGGCAGCCUGGGAUAAGUGGGAUGAGGUGAUAGAUUGGGGAGAUGAAAAGUCUUCACCCACAACACCUCCCUCUAUCCAGGCUGGCACCAGCACUGGAGACGUGGAUGUUGGGGUGGAACAUUACCAGCAGCCAGUAUUCAAACGCCAGCAAAAGAAACUGGUUUUGAGGAUGCAAAUUCAUCUCAGUGUGCAGCCUCAGCCUCAACAUGUGGUCCAGAAUGUAAAUGACAGGGAGGAAGAAGCCCCAGUUCUGUCUAACCUGUCAUCUUGGAGGGAACCUGUUACUCAGGAACAAAGGGAGUCAAAAAGGCAUAAGGACCCAUUCUCCGUGCCUGGAUAUGAGACCCACCACUGGCCUAGAGAAAGAUACUGGUCGCGACAGCCAGCAAAGACAGUCAUUGAUGAAAAUAUCAUCCUGGGCUUCUGCAAUGGCCUGAUGGCUUUUUCACUGUCAUGAAAAUUAUGAAUUUUAAAACUAUUUAUUAUGUAAUAAAAAUUUCAAGCUAA